UCUGCACAGACUUGUGUCCCAAAGAUAAGACCACUGAUUGUUCCAGCAACGUGCCCAGUUAUACAUUCUGACCAAUUCUUUCCUGGAUCACACUACUUCCACCCUGAGACUCUAUGACUAAGACUAGCCUCUAAAACCAUGAAAGUUCCCUCCCUAAUCUCCUGCUUCCUGUUAAAGGUGGUGGUGCUCUUUUUUGCUCGCCUGUAUGAGAAUGCCCAUGGACCCUGAACUCACCUCCUCCCAUGGACACAACAAAUUUACAACUACUCUUGGAACAAUUACCUCUGAGAGAGAACUGAAAACUGGAUGAAAAGAACGCCUACAACGAGGGACAGUGCUGACUGAGGUGGAAGAGGAAGAAAUUCCUUUCUGGAGAGGAAAGAGCCACCCUUGAGCUGUGGUGCUUCACAGCCAGCAGGGAGCAAUCUUAAGAUGGGGAAACAGAGCCAGAGAGCAUGCCGGGAAGUGGGUAGCGUAUGGCAGUGUUAGAGCCCACGUCUUCUGAAGUCCACUCUUCUUCCCAGCACACCGUGAAACUUUGGCACAUUUCCCUUUGAAGUUCCACUGCAUUUAUUCCAGAUCAGGAAUGUGCCUCAGAAAGACGUCUCUGGCUUCCUGGGUCAGACUUCCUGCCUGCAGAGGCAGAAGAUGGUCUUCCCAGGGCUGCCUGUCCUUCCGUGGAAGGCCAUUUCAGCGCCAGUGCUAGUCUAGUCUGAGACCAUGUGGAGGGCAG
This 733-nucleotide long non-coding RNA is filed under the name Equus caballus (horse). Its description in RNAcentral is "lncRNA (ENSECAG00000028075.3)". Lineage: Eukaryota; Metazoa; Chordata; Mammalia; Perissodactyla; Equidae. The record is from RNAcentral.